GAUGAACGCUGGCGGCGUGCCUAAUACAUGCAAGUCGAGCGAACAGACGAGGAGCUUGCUCCUCUGACGUUAGCGGCGGACGGGUGAGUAACACGUGGAUAACCUACCUAUAAGACUGGGAUAACUUCGGGAAACCGGAGCUAAUACCGGAUAAUAUAUUGAACCGCAUGGUUCAAUAGUGAAAGACGGUUUUGCUGUCACUUAUAGAUGGAUCCGCGCCGCAUUAGCUAGUUGAUAAGGUAACGGCUUACCAAGGCAACGAUGCGUAGCCGACCUGAGAGGGUGAUCGGCCACACUGGAACUGAGACACGGUCCAGACUCCUACGGGAGGCAGCAGUAGGGAAUCUUCCGCAAUGGGCGAAAGCCUGACGGAGCAACGCCGCGUGAGUGAUGAAGGUCUUCGGAUCGUAAAACUCUGUUAUUAGGGAAGAACAAAUGUGUAAGUAACUAUGCACGUCUUGACGGUACCUAAUCAGAAAGCCACGGCUAACUACGU
This 496-nucleotide ribosomal RNA is filed under the name uncultured bacterium. RNAcentral's name for it is "partial 16S ribosomal RNA". It matches the Rfam family "Bacterial small subunit ribosomal RNA", at positions 28 to 506 of the family's 1533-position model. The record is from RNAcentral.